RNAcentral lists this unclassified non-coding RNA (474 nucleotides) under Hevea brasiliensis (rubber tree). Lineage: Eukaryota; Viridiplantae; Streptophyta; Magnoliopsida; Malpighiales; Euphorbiaceae. The record is from RNAcentral.
GUUAUUAUAUAAAUUGUUCCCUCAAAAACAAAAUGUAACUUUGACUGUUUUUCGUAGCGUCAAAUGUUUCCCAAAAUUUUUCAUAUUUCAUACAAGCGCAUGAUGAUUGUAACCCCACAAAAAUAGUCUCCCAUAAAAGUCCAAAUUUUUACCGCAAAAGUGCUGCCGAGUGAGGUUCAUGGUUGGGGUAGCCUUGCGGGGAGAGGGAAGUAAUGCAAGUCUGGUCGGCAGGCUGCGUGGAUGUGAGGUUCAUUCUUGCAUAAAAUAGACCAAAAGAGGUUAACUUGGUGAUAGCUGCUAGAAAUUGGGAUGCUGGCGCAUGGCAUGCUGGGCGCCCAAAUGAGAUUUGUUGGGGGUUGGAGUGCAGUGCACGGCGUUGAGCGUGCAGAGUGCGCAAAUGAGGUUCACUGGGUGUGCGCAGUGUGCAAGUGGAGUGCUAGGCGCGCAGAGCAUGCAUGCAAGGUUCACUGGAGC